CUGUAUACACAAGGUAUACAGAAUCAGAUUAUUUGCACAAAAGUAAGAGAUAAGGACAUAAGCGGAUGGACUUUCCUGAGAGCUCUCCAUUCGGAAUCUGCCAGCGCCAUAUCCACAGCAUUCUAGACCAAAUGAAAGACCAACAGUGACUAACUAAUAUAAAGUAAACACAGCUUUCGCAAUCAAGAUUUCAUCUUCCGGAGAGAAAUGCUACUCUAAAUAUACCCAAGAGUAGAGCAGAGCUCACAGUAGCAGCAGUUGGAGGAAACAUAUUUACAGAUAAUCAGUAAACCAAACCUUCAAUCAAUUGGGGAAAUGCAUGAUUUUACGAGAUUAUUUUUACUUGACCAGAUAACACAAAAAAGUUCCUAUAGGUUUGUGAGUGAAAGAAGAGUGAAAAGAACCUCUCGAAGUCAUUGAAAAUGACGGUUUCAGGAACGAUCUCACUAAAGAACAAUCUAAUACAGUUUGACCAAUUGUAGUACAAAAACAAGAAAUAAGUCUGUUUUCCUUAAGUGGACUGAAAGUGGUAGAACCAAAUGUUAAAACAUAACUAUAUCCACAUAGAAUACAAAGGAAAGAAUAAAGACAAGCACUUUGACGUGCUCGAAACCGGGCGCGUAAUUUAAAAACCCUUUUUUAUCAGAAUGUAGUAUUGGCAAAUAAGGUUCGAUCAAUCCGGGGACCUAAAGGGCGCUCCUGCAGUCAUGGUUACACUAAAGAAUUAGUAACAGAAAGUAAUCACACGUAUUCAGUUACAAAUAUAUACACGGUACAAUAGAUAAAAAGGGGGGUUUUCAAGGUUUGUUUACUAAAUUCCUACGAAAACAGUAGAGAAAAGAACUAAACUACUAUUUACAAGUGAUCGACUUCCACACUUUCGAAACCAGAUUCCAGAAAACAUAAUCGUAAUCCAAUGAACUUUAAUCACACAAUUGAGUUAUCACCAAAGAGAAACACAGAAGGGUUCUAAAUACAAGCCUACGAGGUCAUGCAUUUAAUCAGUUCUUCUAAAUAGUCAUCCAAGCUAGAACG
Molecule: long non-coding RNA, 1035 nt
Filed under: Fragaria vesca (wild strawberry)
Lineage: Eukaryota; Viridiplantae; Streptophyta; Magnoliopsida; Rosales; Rosaceae
Description: long non-coding RNA (FVES_LNC004056)
Source: RNAcentral